This 1361-nucleotide ribosomal RNA is filed under the name uncultured bacterium. RNAcentral describes it as "bacterial SSU rRNA". It matches the Rfam family "Bacterial small subunit ribosomal RNA", at positions 28 to 1381 of the family's 1533-position model. The record is from RNAcentral.
AUUGAACGCUGGCGGCAGGCCUAACACAUGCAAGUCGAACGGUAGCACAGAGAGCUUGCUCUCGGGUGACGAGUGGCGGACGGGUGAGUAAUGUCUGGGAAACUGCCCGAUGGAGGGGGAUAACUACUGGAAACGGUAGCUAAUACCGCAUAACGUCGCAAGACCAAAGAGGGGGACCUUCGGGCCUCUUGCCAUCGGAUGUGCCCAGAUGGGAUUAGCUUGUAGGUGAGGUAACGGCUCACCUAGGCGACGAUCCCUAGCUGGUCUGAGAGGAUGACCAGCCACACUGGAACUGAGACACGGUCCAGACUCCUACGGGAGGCAGCAGUGGGGAAUAUUGCACAAUGGGCGCAAGCCUGAUGCAGCCAUGCCGCGUGUAUGAAGAAGGCCUUCGGGUUGUAAAGUACUUUCAGCGGGGAGGAAGGGAGUGAGGUUAAUAACCUCAUUCAUUGACGUUACCCGCAGAAGAAGCACCGGCUAACUCCGUGCCAGCAGCCGCGGUAAUACGGAGGGUGCGAGCGUUAAUCGGAAUUACUGGGCGUAAAGCGCACGCAGGCGGUCUGUCAAGUCGGAUGUGAAAUCCCCGGGCUCAACCUGGGAACUGCAUUCGAAACUGGCAGGCUGGAGUCUUGUAGAGGGGGGUAGAAUUCCAGGUGUAGCGGUGAAAUGCGUAGAGAUCUGGAGGAAUACCGGUGGCGAAGGCGGCCCCCUGGACAAAGACUGACGCUCAGGUGCGAAAGCGUGGGGAGCAAACAGGAUUAGAUACCCUGGUAGUCCACGCUGUAAACGAUGUCGACUUGGAGGUUGUUCCCUUGAGGAGUGGCUUCCGGAGCUAACGCGUUAAGUCGACCGCCUGGGGAGUACGGCCGCAAGGUUAAAACUCAAAUGAAUUGACGGGGGCCCGCACAAGCGGUGGAGCAUGUGGUUUAAUUCGAUGCAACGCGAAGAACCUUACCUACUCUUGACAUCCAGAGAACUUAGCAGAGAUGCUUUGGUGCCUUCGGGAACUCUGAGACAGGUGCUGCAUGGCUGUCGUCAGCUCGUGUUGUGAAAUGUUGGGUUAAGUCCCGCAACGAGCGCAACCCUUAUCCUUUGUUGCCAGCGAUUCGGUCGGGAACUCAAAGGAGACUGCCAGUGAUAAACUGGAGGAAGGUGGGGAUGACGUCAAGUCAUCGUGGCCCUUACGAGUAGGGCUACACACGUGCUACAAUGGCAUAUACAAAGAGAAGCGACCUCGCGAGAGCAAGCGGACCUCAUAAAGUAUGUCGUAGUCCGGAUUGGAGUCUGCAACUCGACUCCAUGAAGUCGGAAUCGCUAGUAAUCGUGGAUCAGAAUGCCACGGUGAAUACGUUCCCGGGCCU